CCUCCCGCCACCCGAUUGGCUGUCGCUCUACGGCCGGCCGGCCCUCCCCUCCUCCCAUUGGCAGGCAGAGCCGUCGCUCCGCGCCGGGUAGAACGGGGCGGGGGAGCGGCGGGGCGCUGGCGGCACGCGGGAGUUCGGCGCUGACAGGGAGGCGCGCGGAGGCGCUGCGGGACGGGCCGGGCACCUCCUGCCCGCGGCAGGUGAGCUCAGCGAGACCAGUUUAAGCAGUGCUGCAGAGGAGAAGAUCAUGGAUGCAAGAAGAUGCCUCAUUUCAGAACACCCAAACAUGAAGAUUUUAUGAACGUCAUUGGGGAUCCUUUGCUGGAGCUGUUGUGUGCUGCCCGCUGCAGCGCAGCCCUCUGUGACCCCUUGCCUCCAAGGAUGGAAUCUGUGAGUCUUUUCCAUCCUGAACUUGUGAGUUCUCCCUCCUGAGCCCAGUGAGUUUCAAAUAUUGCAUUAAAAGAUGUGACAGUGUUGUCUAGGAGAUGUGACUGACUUAAUUGUUGUUAAUAUUAAAGUGCCUUACAAUGAUGGGAAAGAGUCAUUGCAUUCUUUUCUUGCAAAUAGGAGAGCUGGCGUGCAGGAGGAAUGGAUCUCGUCUGUCUGCUGUGAUUCUUGACCCACCUAAUUGGCUAAUGGCCACGAGCAAUAACUGUGUGGCUCAGGGGAGCAGUGCUGGGGAGAGAUGUAGCCGCUCGGGGCAGAGAAGCACUGUGCCGUACCGAACACGUUGCACGUGAUCCUGCCAUCGAUGACCGAACCUCCCUGAAAUCUUAUCAGUUACUGCCAAGAGGAGAAGGACAGCAGGGAAGAGGAGUGU
This 820-nucleotide long non-coding RNA is filed under the name Numida meleagris (helmeted guineafowl). Its description in RNAcentral is "lncRNA (ENSNMEG00000016784.1)". The record is from RNAcentral. Lineage: Eukaryota; Metazoa; Chordata; Aves; Galliformes; Numididae.